UGGGGAAUAUUGCACAAUGGGGGAAACCCUGAUGCAGCGACGCCGCGUGAACGAAGAAGGUAUUCGUAUCGUAAAGUUCUGUCCUAUGGGAAGAUAAUGACAGUACCAUAGAAGAAAGCUCCGGCUAAAUACGUGCCAGCAGCCGCGGUAAUACGUAUGGAGCGAGCGUUGUCCGGAAUUAUUGGGCGUAAAGGGUACGCAGGCGGUUUAAUAAGUCGAAUGUUAAAGAUCGGGGCUCAACCCCGUAAAGCAUUGGAAACUGAUAAACUUGAGUAGUGGAGAGGAAAGUAGAAUUCCUAGUGUAGCGGUGAAAUACGUAGAUAUUAGGAGGAAUACCAGUAGCGAAGGCGACUUUCUGGACACAAACUGACGCUGAGGUACGAAAGCGUGGGGAGCAAACAGG
RNAcentral lists this ribosomal RNA (403 nucleotides) under bacterium. Its description in RNAcentral is "partial 16S ribosomal RNA". It matches the Rfam family "Bacterial small subunit ribosomal RNA", at positions 355 to 776 of the family's 1533-position model. The record is from RNAcentral.